CUUGCGCUCUGCUGACGACCGGCGCACGGGUGAGUAACGCGUAUGCAACCUACCUUUUACUGGGGAAUAGCCCAGAGAAAUUUGGAUUAAUACCCCAUAUUAUCUUUUAUUCGCAUGAAUUAGAGAUGAAAGUUUCGACGGUAAAAGAUGGGCAUGCGUCCUAUUAGUUUGUUGGUAAGGUAAUGGCUUACCAAGACUUCGAUAGGUAGGGGCCCUGAGAGGGGACCCCCCACACUGGUACUGAGACACGGACCAGACUCCUACGGGAGGCAGCAGUAAGGAAUCUUGCACAAUGGAGGAAACUCUGAUGCAGCGAUGCCGCGUGAGUGAAGAAGGCCCUUGGGUUGUAAAGCUCUUUCGUCGGGGAAGACAAUGACUGUACCCGAAUAAGAAGGUCCGGCUAACUUCGUGCCAGCUGCCGCGGUAAUACGAAGGGACCUAGCGUAGUUCGGACUUACUGGGCUUCAAGAGUCCGUCAGUGGUUAACACAGUUGGUGGUUGAAAUCCUGAGCUUACCUCCUGGGACUUGCCAUG
RNAcentral lists this ribosomal RNA (534 nucleotides) under uncultured Alphaproteobacteria bacterium. Its description in RNAcentral is "bacterial SSU rRNA". It matches the Rfam family "Bacterial small subunit ribosomal RNA", at positions 78 to 628 of the family's 1533-position model. The record is from RNAcentral. Lineage: Bacteria; Pseudomonadati; Pseudomonadota; Alphaproteobacteria.